GUGAGGAAUUUUCCGCAAUGGGCGAAAGCCUGACGGAGCAAUGCCGCGUGAAGGAUGAAGGCCUAUGGGUUGUAAACUUCUUUUCUCAGAAAAGAAUUAUGACGGUACCUGAGGAAUAAGCAUCGGCUAACUCUGUGCCAGCAGCCGCGGUAAGACAGAGGAUGCAAGCGUUAUCCGGAAUGAUUGGGCGUAAAGCGUCUGUAGGUUGUUUAAAAAGUAUUCUGUCAAAGAUUAGGGCUUAACCCUAGAUAGGCAGAAUAAACUUUUAAGCUAGAGUUUGGUAGAGGCAGAGGGAAUUCCCGGUGGAGCGGUGAAAUGCGUAGAUAUCGGGAGGAACACCAAAGGCGAAGGCACUCUGCUGGGCCAAUACUAACACUGAGAGACGAAAGCGAGGGGAGCAAAUGGGAUUAGAUACCCUGGUAGUCC
Molecule: ribosomal RNA, 426 nt
Filed under: uncultured bacterium
Lineage: Bacteria
Description: partial 16S ribosomal RNA
Rfam family: Bacterial small subunit ribosomal RNA
Source: RNAcentral